This 341-nucleotide ribosomal RNA is filed under the name uncultured Prevotella sp. RNAcentral's name for it is "partial 16S ribosomal RNA". Lineage: Bacteria; Pseudomonadati; Bacteroidota; Bacteroidia; Bacteroidales; Prevotellaceae. The record is from RNAcentral.
GGAGUUUGGACCGUGUCUCAGUUCCAAUGUGGGGGACCUUCCUCUCAGAACCCCUACUGAUCGUUGACUUGGUGAGCCGUUACCUCACCAACUAUCUAAUCAGACGCAUCCCCAUCCACUGCCGCUAAACCUUUAGUUCUAUUUGGAUGUCCGCUUAGAACUUCAUACGGUAUUAAUCCGUCUUUCGACGGGCUAUCCCGUGGUAGUGGGAAGGUUGGAUACGCGUUACUCACCCGUGCGCCGGUCGCCAUCAGAGUUUGCAAGCAAACUCCAUGAUGCCCCUCGACUUGCAUGUGUUAAGCCUGUAGCUAGCGUUCAUCCUGAGCCAUGAUCAAACUACU